UGCCUGUGUUGAACUUUAGGUUCAGCCAUGAAGGUGAGCUUUGAAUGAGGACCGAUCAACCAUCACAGUGUUAGAAGGCAAGAAUGGUCUGUCAAUCAAGUUCUUUCAAUCAAGUCCCUCUGAGGUCCCACAGCAUCGUGCUAUCAGCAAAUCUGACAUCAGCAUAAUUGAAAUGCAAGAAGUAUCUUUCUGUGGUCAUAUCUCCAGUUUCACCUGCCCGUAACUUAUUCUGAAAUACUAAAAAACAAACAUUGAUGAAUGUUUGUAUCCUAA
Long non-coding RNA from Mastomys coucha (southern multimammate mouse), 273 nucleotides. RefSeq lists it as uncharacterized. NCBI's taxonomy places the organism in Eukaryota, Metazoa, Chordata, Mammalia, Rodentia, Muridae. The record is from RefSeq and is a predicted model, not a curated record. The transcript is spliced from 2 exons.